UAAGAAAGACGAAGAUAUAAAUUUAAAACAAAAAUAUAUGCCUUUCCAUUUCAUAAAAAGUUUACACCAGUUCACCAAAAUAAGCAUGUCCAAUUCCAUAAAUAUCUAACAUUUGAUUUUGAUGCUUAGAGCACCAUUCAUGCCAGAAACAUUUUUCCUCACAAAGAAGAUUUAAUUAACAAAUAACAUUUCUUCAAAAAAAUAAUUUUCUCUACCUAUUUCAGGGAAACUUCAAUUUUCAAAAAUAAAUGUCAUUUUCUGAAAUGCUCAAAUUCAUAGAGAGAGGACUUCAUAUAAGAUUCUCAAAGAAAUAAUCCAACACUCCAUCAAUCACCACUACAAAAUGCUAUUGGCUGACAUUAAUUAUUUUUGAUAGCUUGUGCUAGCUGGAAUUCACCAUUUCUUGUGUAGUUUCUCUCUAAUUCAAAUAGAUUAAAACCAAAAAUAGAGUCCUUCUAAAUCCAAAAUUCUCAUAGUACUCCUCGUUGAAGAAAGAAAUUUUUAAUUUUUGGAAACAGAAAGAAUAUUCAUUCUAGUCUAAUUCAAAUGCCAGAAAUUAAUUUACAGUUGGUUUUCAUUAUUACAAACAAAUAAUAGAAAAUUAUUCAGUUCUUUAUAAAUGUUAUCCAAAGAAAAUAUUUUCUAGGACAUUAUUUCUCCUAAACAACCAACAUUUAAAAAAAACAAAUAUGUAUAUAUUAUGUACUUGCAGCCCAAAUCUCAAUUUACUUGAUAGAAACAAAAACCCGGAUAGGUACCUUCUUUAUGUCCUUCAGAAAGUUAGUGGAAGCCCUCUAACCGAAGAUCUAAUAACAGAGUUAUCUCUAAUCCAUUUCGCACAAGCCUCUUAUAGAUGGUAGUAUGGUACAGCAUAAAAAAAGAUAAAUAGGGGACACUUUUAUGAGAUAUUAAUAUAUAAAUCCAUCUUGAUAGCAGAUUAAUGCUUGUUUUAUAGGAAACUAUUUGGGAAUCUGACAGAUGAACCUGUUAAUACUUGGCAAAUGCCUACACAAAAGCUCAUUGGUGAACUUUUUCCAAAAGCUUAGAGUUGGGACUGGGGAAGUAGAUGAAUGCUAGUAAUAGAGGCAGCUGAAAAUUUAACCCACAAGAAACCAAAUGUCAAGCAACUUGAGAAUUGAGGCAAUCAAAGUCAAAGAAAAGUGCUCCUUUUAGGCUUCAUGCAGGUGACUGCUGAAUGCCUUCCAACAACAUAAACUGAAAAAAAAAAAAAAGAAUUCCGAGAUUCUUGCAUGCACAAUCAUACUCAAAUCAACUAAGCUUUUAUCUCAAAAA
RNAcentral lists this unclassified non-coding RNA (1293 nucleotides) under Hevea brasiliensis (rubber tree). Lineage: Eukaryota; Viridiplantae; Streptophyta; Magnoliopsida; Malpighiales; Euphorbiaceae. The record is from RNAcentral.